Long non-coding RNA from Sycon ciliatum, 3063 nucleotides. RefSeq lists it as uncharacterized. Lineage: Eukaryota; Metazoa; Porifera; Calcarea; Leucosolenida; Sycettidae. The record is from RefSeq and is a predicted model, not a curated record. The transcript is spliced from 3 exons.
GAGUCGUUCCCCAGGUUUGGGAACCGAAACAGUUUGCCGCUGCUGUUCGACGGCAACUAGAGGAAGAGGAACGAAAUGAUCAGGAACUGCAAGACAUGCGGGUGGGCCGAGGAAUACAUUGCUAUUUUAAUAUCAAUUUAUUCAACUGAUGAAUAUUGAUUUAUAAGAAAGGCGUUUGCUCCUCACAUCUGAGCUCGUGCUUUCCCACCGGCUUGACUUGACACUUGACUGUCUGACUGCAAUCCAGCGCACAUGAGAAGUCCAUCGAACCUUCCGCUUACCAAGCCUGCAGGAAAGCACCACUCCUUGCUCAAGAGUCAAAUCGGUGGGGGAAAAAUGGCUGACCUCCGGUGUGGGGAGCGAACGCCGUUUCUUAUGAAAUCAUCGGCGAAGUCGCUACCACUCUCUCGUAAUAUUAAAUUUUAACACCAGAAUUCUGAUAUAGCCAGAAUGCACUUGUGUGAGCAUGGGAAUACGCGAACACAUGUACAUGAUAGUACAGGUUGAGCACAUGUUCAUUUACUUCAGUAUGUGCAGAGCGUCAAAUGCAAAUCACGCGUUGUCCAUUUACGCCAUCCCCUGAGGAUCGCAUGUGCCAUUGGCCCAUUGUCCCUAUCCUCCAACAUGGAAGAUUCGGCAUGCCUGCUAAGGGGUUAGCUAUCACACACCGUGAUUAUGAUCGUCUUGUACUCAGUGCGUGCGCAGGUGUGUCGGUCUUGGGGUGAUGUUUAUACGGUUACUCGGGGUUCAGAGGAUAACCAUUGAUGUGUGUCGCUAUCGCAUUGCAUGAGCAGGACUAGAUGGGAAUUGCUGAGAUGAAGGCCUGAAUGUACAUGUAUAUGUACUUGAAUACCCACCGAUACCUAACCUGCCAUGUAUGCCGACAUGGCCAGUACCAUCCUCAUGCCGCCAGAUGAACUUAGGGGUGAAACGAGUGCAAGAAUUGAGAACUCGAGUACUCUUUGAAAGAACAAGCGAGUAUUCGAGCGAGUACGAGCAUUUUCUGAUAACAUAAAACAAUGUACUGCACACAGUCUCGUAACGCCGAACGUACUACUAAUACGCCUAAUACACAGUGGUCUUGCAUACAGCCUAGUGCAGGAAAUAGUCUGAACUACUGUCUUUUGCUGGUAUUAAGUAGGGACAAGCAAUAAUUUCGCGCUUGCAUAGGCUAUCAGUACCGGUUAGAGUAACAGAAAGGCUUGAUGUACAUGUACAUGCACAUGCAUACUAUACACUGCACAUAGGAUGCUACGAGCAUUUUGCGAAACGAGUACUCGCUCAUUUCAAAUUACCGAGCGCGCUCGAUAUACUCGUUUCACCCUUACUAAUGAUUGCCUGACGACUGGCUGAUGAUUUCGAAAGCAUGACACUCAGAGUAGCGACCAACUAGCCUUGAUUGCCCGUGUUGUACAGUUCCGUGUACUGUACUUGAAUACGUAACGUUGGCAGGGUCGACUGCUCAUCCGCAUAGCAUAAUAUGCCGUCUCUUCUAGCAAGGUGUAGGCAAGAGAAAAAAUAAAGCUACUGGCUCCUGGCAUAGGCAAGUUUACCUCGUGAUUGUACUUGUGUUGAACCUUGUGUCCCCGACCGCGAAGCUACAAGCUUGCCUGGACAGGAUCUUGCGGUAUAGGGCUUGAAAGUGCUAAGUCACAGCAUAGCAACAGGUUCAAAAAUUCAAAAAUUGGAUCCACUUGGGUCCAGUUUUUGUAUGGAUCCAAGCACAUUUCAAGCCGUCUUACUCACAGCAAGGUGAUGUAACCAGUGAAACUGACUGAUUUGGCUACUGGGGGAGGGGUUACAACGGGUGGGGAAGUAAAAGUCACCCCUGCAUACGACAUGAGUGGGUUGCUAUGCACCCACAUACUGAGGCAAUAGCAAAGUCACACCUUAGUGGAUCCAAAAUAGAAAUCUGAUGUCAACUUUAUACUCCCUGGCCGUUUUUGACGUCAUCACUUUCUAGCCCUAUUCGUUGAGCAAGAGAGAUGGGCGCCUCAGCAGGGACACCUUUCCCGGCCUGAUGACCAUGCACAACUAUGGUAGGCUGCGCAUUGCCGUGCUGGGAAGGUCUGGAGUGGGAGGAAGUCACACAGCCAACAAUAUCCUUGAACUACUGGGCGAGGACCCAAAGUAAGGGGUGUACAGCGAAGGCGCGGGAAGCGCCAGAGUUCGUGAUGCGCCAAUCUACAAUGCAGCCGGGUAUAGUCCAGCCAUCAUGCUGCGCACUAGUCGCGGUAGUGGCGAGACGAGGGGCAGAGACAGUGAGAUAUGUAUGAUGGAAGCUGUGCUCAGCAACAAGCUGUAUGCCGGUGAUGAGUGCUACAUGGAGUAUAUUCGCUACAACGACAGCAGUCCCAUGGCCGACCAAUGCCAUGCAGCUAUGUUUUUUUCAUGUCUUUCCCUCCUUUCUGAGAACGUGAAACCUGGUGACUACUCCGUGCAGAUGUUCUGGUCCGGAUUCCGUCCUCUCUUCUCCAGAUUGGACAUCACCCCUGUCACUUUGGUCACAAACAUGAGAUGUCCACAACGUGAUGAACUAUUUGACGGUUGGAAAUGCGUCACUCAUGCCACCCAAUUCUUGGGAUCAGCGGAGAAUCAAGUAUUUCCAAUCGAGAACAAAGAGCCGACAGGCGAUCCGGAGGCAGUGCGGAAGCGUCUUCGCCAGGAGCUGGUGCUGGCGUUGCUGGAAGUCAUGUACCAGGCCGAGUACCGCCUUCAUCGGCACGAGCUACGUGCCCUGCGUUACUAGAUUCUACUGGAAAGGCAUUGAAAUCGACACAGCCAUGCCUGUGCCUAUGGCGGGCAAUUCCAAUGCACCCUCUUCCUUUUACGCUUACCAAACAUGCAUGAAACGUUCUCGCAAAAGUUCCGCCGGAUCUAUUGUCAUGUACAUGUCUUUGCCAUCGGUUACACAUCUUUUCAUUUUUUCUUUUCAUCUUUUUCGCUGAGUAUACAUCAAACAUACGAGUAAAUACCGUACAUCUACUGCUAGCAUAUAAUUAUGAUCACUUUUACACGAGAAUUACGUUGAACUGCGGCUUGGAUUGUCGUGCAUGGUUUUCA